RNAcentral lists this unclassified non-coding RNA (424 nucleotides) under fungal sp. RNAcentral's name for it is "partial internal transcribed spacer region". Lineage: Eukaryota; Fungi. The record is from RNAcentral.
AAGUCGUAACAAGGUUUCCGUAGGUGAACCUGCGCUCUGAAUCAAAACUACUUUCCGGGCUAUGAUUUACCAGAGAUUGCAAGCUUCGCGGGUUACAAGAGCAGGAAUCAAUGUUCACGGGGGGGGUUUUAACGUUUGGAUACGUGUUAAUGAUCCUUCCGACCUCUGGCCCGUGCGAAAUCACAACAGUUACAAUUCGAGCGGUAGUUCUAUAGGCCUUGUUUCCCCAAGCAGUCAGUGUCUGAAAGUGUCAGUGAUUGUGCAAGGAUAACGCUUCACGAUUCUUGUAGACCGCAUCUCGCGGGCAGGAGCUAGGCCAAAGGGUCCCCAUGCCCCCUUACAACCCCACAGUUAAAUGUGAAGCUCAAUGUAAUACAUUGGGUAAAAAACCGAACAACUGUUAACAAUGGAUAUCUUGGUUCUC